RNAcentral lists this ribosomal RNA (253 nucleotides) under uncultured bacterium. RNAcentral describes it as "partial 16S ribosomal RNA". It matches the Rfam family "Bacterial small subunit ribosomal RNA", at positions 524 to 776 of the family's 1533-position model. The record is from RNAcentral.
UACGUAGGGUGCAAGCGUUGUCCGGAAUUAUUGGGCGUAAAGAGCUUGUAGGUGGUUUGUCGCGUCUGCUGUGAAAUUUCGGGGCUCAACCCCGAACUUGCAGUGGGUACGGGCAGACUAGAGUGUGGUAGGGGAGACUGGAAUUCCUGGUGUAGCGGUGAAAUGCGCAGAUAUCAGGAGGAACACCGAUGGCGAAGGCAGGUCUCUGGGCCACUACUGACGCUGAGAAGCGAAAGCAUGGGGAGCGAACAGG